Molecule: ribosomal RNA, 180 nt
Filed under: Pseudomonas parafulva
Lineage: Bacteria; Pseudomonadati; Pseudomonadota; Gammaproteobacteria; Pseudomonadales; Pseudomonadaceae
Description: partial 16S ribosomal RNA
Source: RNAcentral
UAGUUUCGUAGAAGGACUUGCUUCUCGAUUCGCGGCGGACGGGCGCCCUAAUGCCUAGGAAUCUGCCUGGUAGUGGGGGACAACGUUUCGAAAGGGACGCUAAUACCGCAUACGUCCUACGGGAGAAAGCAGGCGACCUUCGGGCCUUGCCUAUCAGAUGAGACUACCCCGGAUUAGCUA